UAAAGGUUAGUGGAACCUGCCAAACACGUAUAAAUUUGAAUUAUAAAAAGGAAUUAAUCAUUCCACCUUUAA
RNAcentral lists this transfer RNA (72 nucleotides) under Tchangsinaia piscicula. RNAcentral's name for it is "tRNA-Gln". Lineage: Eukaryota; Metazoa; Mollusca; Bivalvia; Unionida; Unionidae. The record is from RNAcentral.